RNAcentral lists this ribosomal RNA (1043 nucleotides) under Plethodontohyla notosticta (Mahanoro digging frog). RNAcentral describes it as "partial 16S ribosomal RNA". It matches the Rfam family "Bacterial large subunit ribosomal RNA", at positions 855 to 2597 of the family's 2925-position model. Lineage: Eukaryota; Metazoa; Chordata; Amphibia; Anura; Microhylidae. The record is from RNAcentral.
AUUCAGGAAAAGGAUUUUAGUCCACCUUUAAGUUUUAUCACUACUACUAAAUACCAAAUAAACUUAAAAGCCAUUCAAAUAAGGUACAGCCUAUUUGAAUAAGGAAACAGCCUGCAAUACAGGGUAAUGAUUUUUUACACGUGACUAAGUCGGCCUAAAAGCAGCCAACUUCUAAAUGGCGUCCAAGCCUCAUCACACCUAUCAUUAAUUUCCCCAUUUAUACGCAACCCUCAAUCACUACUGAAUGACUCCAUACCUUAUGGAGGACACCAUGCUAGAACUAGUAACAAGAAGAUGACCCUUCUCCAAAAUGCAAACGUAAGCCAAAAUGAACACUCACCGGCACUUACCGCCACCUAAGCCCACAGUAUUAACUAACAAGAAAACUUUACCGCACCAGGCGUUAACCUUACACCAGGGCAUUUCCGUGAAAGAUUAAAAAGGGGGGAAGGAACUCGGCAAAUAUUAGCCCCGCCUGUUUACCAAAAACAUCGCCUCUUGGCAAAAUAUAAGAGGUCCAGCCUGCCCAGUGACAGAAGUUAAACGGCCGCGGUAUCCUAACCGUGCAAAGGUAGCACAAUCACUUGUUCUUUAAAUUAGGACCAGUAUGAAUGGCCACACGAGGGCUAUACUGUCUCCCCCCCUUAAUCAGUGAAACUGAUCUCCCCGUGAAGAAGCGGGGAUACAACUAUAAGACGAGAAGACCCCAUGGAACUUAAAACUUGUACCACUGCCUCACUCAUACCAAUACACCAAGGCAAGCAAUGACUACUAGUCUUUCGGCUGGGGCGGCCACGGAGAAAAACUAAACCUCCGCGAUGAAGGGGGCACCCCUAAUCAAAGAGCAACCGCUCUAAUAAUCAACAAAUUGACAUUAUUGACCCAACACCUUGAUCAACGAACCAAGUUACCCUGGGGAUAACAGCGCAAUCCAUUUCAAGAGACCCCAUCGACAAAUGGGCUUACGACCUCGAUGUUGGAUCAGGGUAUCCUAGUGGUGCAGCCGCUACUAACGGUUCGUUUGUUCAACGAUUUAAAACCCU